This is a long non-coding RNA of Drosophila navojoa, 104 nucleotides long. The record is from RefSeq and is a predicted model, not a curated record. NCBI's taxonomy places the organism in Eukaryota, Metazoa, Arthropoda, Insecta, Diptera, Drosophilidae.
GGCUUCGCUGUGUCUACUUUUGUUCAGUCUUUAAAGUCAACUGUUUAACAAUACGUGUAUGUGUGUGUGUGUGUGUGUGUAGCUGUGUGUGUGUGUGUGUGUGU